CUGGGACAGUGUUUAUCAUGAUUUUUUUUUUUUUUUUUUCUGAGGGGGUCAUGUGGGGACCAUUGGUUGACUUGACAUUGAAUGACCC
Long non-coding RNA from Thalassophryne amazonica, 88 nucleotides. RefSeq lists it as uncharacterized. The record is from RefSeq and is a predicted model, not a curated record. The transcript has 3 exons. NCBI's taxonomy places the organism in Eukaryota, Metazoa, Chordata, Actinopteri, Batrachoidiformes, Batrachoididae.